GGGGAAUAUUGGACAAUGGGGGCAACCCUGAUCCAGCCAUGCCGCGUGAGUGAUGAAGGCCUUAGGGUUGUAAAGCUCUUUCAGUAGGGAAGAUAAUGACGGUACCUACAGAAGAAGCCCCGGCUAACUUCGUGCCAGCAGCCGCGGUAAUACGAAGGGGGCUAGCGUUGUUCGGAAUUACUGGGCGUAAAGCGCACGUAGGCGGAUAUUUAAGUCAGGGGUGAAAUCCCGGAGCUCAACUCCGGAACUGCCUUUGAUACUGGAUAUCUAGAGACCGAGAGAGGUAAGUGGAACUCCUAGUGUAGAGGUGGAAUUCGUAGAUAUUAGGAAGAACACCAGUGGCGAAGGCGGCUUACUGGCUCGGAACUGACGCUGAGGUGCGAAAGCGUGGGGAGCAAAC
Molecule: ribosomal RNA, 400 nt
Filed under: uncultured bacterium
Lineage: Bacteria
Description: bacterial SSU rRNA
Rfam family: Bacterial small subunit ribosomal RNA
Source: RNAcentral